Molecule: non-coding RNA, 774 nt
Organism: Schizosaccharomyces pombe (fission yeast)
Lineage: Eukaryota; Fungi; Ascomycota; Schizosaccharomycetes; Schizosaccharomycetales; Schizosaccharomycetaceae
Source: the annotation of a GenBank genome assembly
GAAAAACUGAGGAGCUAAUUCAAUAGUUUUCGUACCUCUGUUUAGCAUGUCACUAAAGACUUGCAACGAACCUACCGAUGAAACAAGAGGAUCAUCCUGCAAACGUUGAUUGACGGCUUCAUCCCUGGUUAUGUGUUGACUUUGGACAUCGCUAUCGAAAAGAAAAUUAGGAUGUACCUUGGAAACCAAAGUAAGUGCUUUUCGUAACAAAAAGUUUGGUUCAGUGUCAGGAUGACAACGAAGCAUAGGAGCUUGUGCGAUUACACCAGCCAGCUUGUGACGAUGUGUCCCACUGAUACCAUAACGUAAAGCCAAUCCUCCACCCAUAGAAUGUCCCCAUAAAAAUAGGGGAAGCUCCGUAUCGCUAGCACGAAGAAUUUGAUAAUCCAGGUCAGGAAAUACUAGAGACCAACCACCAGUACAACCCUGCUUCUUUGGACCUCCCUUUCUUGAAUGACCAAAACCUCUCUGAUCAAAGGUAUAAACUUCAAUAUUACGCUCGUUCAAUGCUUCAAAAAACUCUGGAUAAGCAUUGACAUGUUCGCCAAAUCCAUGGAUAAAAACAACACGUGCAACGGGCUUGUCUUUAACAUCAGUCCAAUCUUUUGUAUAUAAAUCAGCCAUUUGAGAGCAAUAGAGCCAAAAACAAUCCUGGAAAUAUCACCUGCGUUCAAUGUUGGUUCUGAGCAGAUAGUGUAACGAGAUUGUUCUGAAGGUGGAUUCCAGAAAGGAUAGAAUGAUUUUAAUAUGAAUGAUAUAUAUGCUUUAUAAAAG